RNAcentral lists this long non-coding RNA (5710 nucleotides) under Sus scrofa (pig). RNAcentral describes it as "lncRNA (ENSSSCG00000052157.1)". Lineage: Eukaryota; Metazoa; Chordata; Mammalia; Artiodactyla; Suidae. The record is from RNAcentral.
AUAUCUCUCUGUCGAAAACAGGAGCAACUGGUUUUGCUAAAUCCUGCAGUCAACCUAUCUUUUUCUAACGCCUCAGGAGAAGCAGAAAACGAGAGAGACAACAAUUGGAUAGGAAAAGGGAAGUUCGGGGCAGGCGGGGAGGGGAAGUCACCUGCUCAUUAUUUCGCUGCUCCCUGAAGUCCUCUGAAUUCAGUCGUAAAAUUACGUAUAUAAUGAGCAUUGUCUACCUUCCUUUCUCCUUUUACUUUACUAUAAAAUUUCUCGAUAUGGUGGCUUCUCUGCCUUUUCAUGCUUUCUCCCCUUCUCUUUUUAAUCCCUAAAAAUCUAGUUACUGACACCUCCCAGUCUGAUCUGGAUAUCUUAGUCACCAAACUAAAUGAUCAGUCCUCAAUAUUUAUUUUUCUUAAGCUUAGAUGCUGUUGACUGCUCGCUGCUUGAAUUUCUCCUGAUAAGAAACUGAUCUUCUUUUCUUUCCUUCUACAUCUUUGGUCUCUGGAUUUGCUUUUUCCUUUCAUUUGUUCUUUCUCACACCCCUAACAAGCAGACAUUUCACCAUCUUUACAACCACAUUUUCUUUCUUAAUCGUAUAUUUUCUCCCUUGCUGAUUUCAUUCACUCUCAUAUUUGCAGUCAUCGUCUCUGUGUACAACCAAAAAUUUCCACUUUUAGCCCCAAUUUCUCUUUCUCUAGCUUCUGAUUUUCCAGCUACAUGCUGGAACAUUCUGACUCAAUGUUAAUUGACAUAUGAAACUUUUAACAUAUGCAAAUAUGAACUACUCUACUGUCCUAGACCUUUUUCUCUGGAUGUCUCAACAUCUGUCAAUGGUCCUCCACCAUCUUCCAAGGGGCUCCACAAAGCCCAGACAUGGGCUUCCUAAGGUGUGACUUUCCUGAAAUAAGCGCAAAACAUUGUGUGUAUUACUUUUCUAUUACUGUUUCUCAGAAAAGUUUUUAGAAAUUUUAUCAGUGUUUCAAGGAGGUCAGAUACCCCCAAAAAAAGAAAAAAAAAGCUUAAAAACUACUGUGGCACUGCUGGAUUUAACACCUAUUUUUCUAUUCCUAUAUGUAUAUGUUAAUCUUAUAAUUAGCUCACAAAUCCAUAUUUCUAGCUUGUUUUUCAAUCAUUUUGAUCACAUUUCUUAGCUAUUAUAUACUGGAAUAAAUUAUCAGUUUUUGGUUUGGUUUUGCUCAAAAACAGAGAAGAAACGGAAACUUCUCUGUCCAGAAAAGGAAGUGUAAAUCUUAGAUGAUGAUUUGGUAUACAAAAUUAUGAAAUUAUCUUUAAAUUUUAAAAAUUUAAAUCAUUUUACUUCUAUCGCCAAAGAUAUAAUUUGGUCUUCAAAAAUUGUACCAUUUGUGUGUGUGGACAGCCUAGUUUUGUGCCUAUCUCAGAUCAGGAACUCAUGUGUAAAACUAAAAGGUCAAUUUGAAAUAUCUGGCUGUUUGGCAUCGGAUGAGGAAGGACUGUGCUCUCAACUAAUUCAACUGUUACAAUAUCAGGGUAAUGAUUCUAAGAAAACAUAUCUGAGCCUUUGUUUGAAUGAAUUAGAUUGCUCUUUGUACAAAAUGACAUCAAAAGCUGUUCUCCUCACACAGACAGAUUAUGUUCAUAUCUGGUCCUUUUUUUCUUUUAGUUUUCGUCCUGAAGUUUAAUGGCAUGUAGAUAUGACUUCCUGGUCAGAAAAUUAACCACCCUGUUAAACUGCUUACUUUUCUUUUUAUAUGGAGUAAUUCUGUUUUGUAUUGACUCUCAUCUCACUUAUCACUAUGAAAUAAAGCUUAUAAAUUCAACUUCCUUACCUAUAUAUAAAUUAAUGUAUUUAUAUUUUCUGUGCCAGAGUCUGUAGUAGGUGUCGAAACACAAAGAACAAGACCCAGUUCCUACACUUAAGGAGCACAAAGUCUAACAAAUAUGUAUUGACCUUACAAAAUAUUGCUGUAUUUAUACUAGUAUUAUUACUACUAUUAUUCAUUUUUAAUGAUUAUUAUACCUAGUCCCAGCAAAGGGCAUAUAUACACUUUUUAUGAUAAUACAGAUUACUUGCAAGAAACAGUAUUCUCUAAUAUAAGCAAGAUUUUCUUUAUAAAGGUGGAGAAAUGUUGUCAAUUUUCUCCUUGAACUUCUACCCCCUUGUAAUCAGGAACUAAUUAAUUAAUUAGAUAAUAUUUCUAAAGUGCAUUGAAGAUGAGCAGCCUUACACAAAUGCUAAGUAUUUUAAAGUCAUGUAUUGCCUCAUAUACUAGACAGGAUUCUUAAAAGUUUGGAAAGGACAAUUUGAACAAAUUACAUUUCAUCUAAAUGAAAAAUCUAGGCAUAUACUGAAGGCAGGGGGUAGGCAGAAGUAGGAAAGGUUGGAUGGAAAAGUGCAAGUGUAAUCAAGGGAAGGAGAAUGACCCUUUACAUUUCUCUCUAUCAUCAUAAGACAAAAGAGACACAUGCACCUUUCUGAAACUGGUGAAAGAGAAUACAAAUUUUUAAAAAUGAAAUAGUAUUAUCAUUUUUCUCAAACUUUUUGCAAUCGUUGAUAGAACCAGGUCAGUGCUUCCCAAUGAAAGUGAUUAUUUUAUGUUUUUGGAACUUAAUUCAAGACCAAAAUAUCCAAUUUGGAAUCCUCAUGAUCUAGAUUUGGACUGCCUAAAUUUGUGAGAUAAUUAUCAAUACUUGCUUCAUUGUGAAUUGCAUAGCCCAAGACAAUACCAAUGCCUGGUAAGGUUAGAGGGAAAAGGAAUUGAGGCUGAUGCUCCACCGCUGAUCAAUGUAGAAAACUAAGCUCUGACAUGAGCUUUGGGACUAAUGACUUCUCAACCUGAGUAAAUCACUCAGAUAACUUAUUAGACCUACACUUAGUGUUGCGGUUUUUAAACAUGAGCCAUAUGGGAAGUUCAACUCUCAAAGGAAUUAUAUCUGCUUCAGUUAAGGGUGGUUAUGGAAGUAUGGAACCUUUCCAUACUUCCUUUUGGGGGGGGGGCGUCUUUUUAGGGCCACACCUAUGGCAUAUGCAAGUUCCCAGACUAGGGGUCAAAUCAGAGCUGUAGCUGCCACAGCCACAGCAAGGCAGGAUCCAAGCCUCGUCUUCGACACACACUACAGCUCAUGGCAACACAUUGGGAUCCUUAACCCACCAAGCAAGGCCAGGGAUGGAACGCACAUCCUCAUGGAUACUAGUCUGGUUCAUUACUUCUGAGCCACAAUGGGAACUCCUCCAUACUUUCUUUUAAAGCCAGUAACACAGAUGUUUCAGAACGUGAGAAACAGAGGCCAAUAAGAAAGCAUUGCUAUUGUGUGGUGUUUCACUAUCCUGGAAUUCUUUUCAGUGCUUUCGGAUUAUGGCUGGUGUCAUUUUUUUCUUGUGGAUGUUUGAGGAACAGAUCUGAACCACAGAGUUCACUUGGCUUUAGCCAUAUUCGAGUAAGGUAAAGUACCCAGUACUCUGAGAGGAUGUAAUGAGGGCCCUAACUCUCUCAAGGCUGUUGAUCAGAGAGGGUGUCUAGGAGGAGGUGGGCUGUUAGCUAAGAAAUGAGUAAAUAGGACAAAAUGAGGCAAGGCUUUGGGGGAGUAAAGGGUGGCUUUCCAGGCAGAAGAAAGAGGGUGUGCAAAUGCCUUGUGCAUUCAAGGAACCAGAGGAAGACCCAGGUAGCUACAGCAAGAGCCAGUUAGCAUAAAUGAUGGUGUCUGAAAGUAUACAAUUAUAACUCCACCUCACUCAAAGUGGAAUAAAUGGUGUCAUCCAAUCUUUGUUAUCUCAUUGUAGACUCCAAGAAUUGGGUUUCUUUAUAAUUUUUCACGAUAACAGGAAAGAGCAACUAAAUAGAAUUUUUGGGUAAAUAGAGACCUAGUUACAGGACUUUUGUAAAGGUAAGUUCUCUACUGGGAAGCACUCCCAGAUUUUGAUUCAACUUGCUUAAUAGUCACAGUAUGUUUAUUCUAUUAUCUUCCUAUAAGGAAGCAAAUAGCCAUCAAUAUUGAAUGAGUGGUAAGGGAUCCCACAAGAUUUGACAAAGGAUCUUCCCAUACAGUUGUUUAGAGGACAAAUAUAAAUAAUGAGAAGGGUACUGGAGGUGGGGGUAGUAAGAGGAAGGGGAGCACUGUUGUUUUUGCUCUUACAACUGUCAUCAUAGCCAUAGUCAACCACAGUUAUGAGACUUCCAAUCAGUGAACUACACAGCUGACUUCAGGGCCUCUGAGCUUUCUUUUUCUUUUUCUUAUUUUUAGGGCACACCUGCGGCAUAUGGAAGUUCCCAGGCUAGGGGUCGAAUCAGAGCUACAGCUACUGGCCAAUGUCAGAGACACAGAAACCUGGGAUCCAAGCCACAUCUAUGACCUACACCAUAGCUCACAGCAAUGCCAGAUCGCCACCUACUGAGGGGGGCCGGGAAUUAAAUCCGCGGCAUCCUCAUGGAUUCUAGUCAGACUCAUUUCUGCUGAGCCACAACAGGAAAUCCCUCUGAGCUUUCAUUAAAGGGCACAAAUCAUCAGAGAAAGUGAGGGAGGAGUCAGUCCCAGAGCACCAAGGAUCAAAAUCAAGAAAAUGGAAGUUCAAGUAUCUAGUCUAAGUGGUAGGAACUGAGUGGAAAGAGAAUGACCAGGCCAAGGGAAAGCCUGGUCUGAAACCAAGAAAGAAAAUUUCUGCUAAAAAGUCAAAUUUCUUUGGUCAUCCCAUUUCUGGCAUUUGGGUGUGUCAGGCUGGACUAAAGUCCAAGUCUGAGGCAAACGGUUUUCCUCCUUAGGAAUCCUUUUUCCUUAUGGUACAAUGUGGGCCCAUCUAUUCAGCACCCACCUUAGUUUCACUCCUGAUCAGGCAAUGGCUAUUUCUGGGAGCACCAGGGCGUUUUAUGAAACUUUUUUCUGUAUCAAAGACUGAAUAGGUUCCCUCCCUUGAGAUUGAAUUCUGCAUAAUGGCAGCUAGUUUAUCAGAUCAACUCAUCUAUCUUAGCAUGUUCAUAAAUGUUUAUAUGACAGUGCAUUGCUUUUCUAAGGGAAAAGGAAUUUUUUCAGGGCAUUGCCUUAACCCAAAGAAUGGUUAUGGCCCAAGUUUUAUGCAGACAACCCAUGAAGCUCUUAUGAUCAAACAUAAGGUAUGAAAUCCACGCUUUGACUAAGAAAACCAGGGGGGUAACUACAUCUAUAUGGUAGUUGUGAAGAAAAUUGAAUCCUGAGGUCAGUUUGCCUUGGUUCAAAUCCUUGCUCUGCCUCUUAACCAGCAGUGUGACUUUGAGAUAGUUAGACACUCUCUCUGUUCUCAGUUUCUUCAUCUAUAAAAUUGGUAUAAUAAUAAUAGCUUAUGUGGUUGUCACGAGGAUAAACGAGUCAAAAGAUUUAAUUAUCUGGGGCAGGGCCACCUCUAUAUAGGAGUUAGUAAUCAUUACUGUUCUGGAUAGAGAGUAUAGCAUAUUGGUUAAGAACUCUGGCUCUGGCCUUAGACAUAUCUGUUCAAAUCCAAGUUUUCCUAUGUAUAAGGAGCUCUGAGAAACUACCCCAUUUCUCAGCCUCAGUUUCCUUAUCUACAAAGUGGGUGAUGAGAAUCAAAUCAGAUUUACGUGUCAUGAUUUUACACACAGUCAAUGUUAGCAAUUCUUUUUCUCCCAUUUCUCAUUUUGUUUGACUGUUUUUCCACAGGGUUAUAUUAUGUCAUGGUCUGUGAUAUCUGGAUGGAAGAUGUUUUUCUAUUGGUGUUAUAAAUAUCCAGAUUGAGAGGAAUAUUUUGAGUAAU